Molecule: ribosomal RNA, 433 nt
Filed under: uncultured bacterium
Lineage: Bacteria
Description: partial 16S ribosomal RNA
Rfam family: Bacterial small subunit ribosomal RNA
Source: RNAcentral
AGCGAACGCUGGCGGCAGGCUUAACACAUGCAAGUCGAGCGGGCACUUCGGUGUCAGCGGCAGACGGGUGAGUAACACGUGGGAACGUACCCUUCGGUUCGGAAUAACGCUGGGAAACUAGCGCUAAUACCGGAUACGCCCUUUUGGGGAAAGGUUUACUGCCGAAGGAUCGGCCCGCGUCUGAUUAGCUAGUUGGUGGGGUAAUGGCCUACUAAGGCGACGAUCAGUAGCUGGUCUGAGAGGAUGAUCAGCAACACUGGGACUGAGACACGGCCCGGACUCCUACGGGAGGCAGCAGUGGGGGAUAUUGGACAAUGGGCGCAAUCCUGAUCCAGCCAUGCCGCGUGAGUGAUGAAGGCCUUAGGGUUGUAAAGCUUUUUUGUCCGGGACGAUAAUGACGGUACCGGAAGAAUAAGCCCCGGCUAACUUCGUG